This 460-nucleotide ribosomal RNA is filed under the name uncultured bacterium. RNAcentral's name for it is "partial 16S ribosomal RNA". It matches the Rfam family "Bacterial small subunit ribosomal RNA", at positions 338 to 795 of the family's 1533-position model. The record is from RNAcentral.
CCUACGGGAGGCAGCAGUGAGGAAUAUUGGUCAAUGGACGAGAGUCUGAACCAGCCAAGUAGCGUGAAGGAUUACUGCCCUAUGGGUUGUAAACUUCUGUUAUAAAGGAAUAAAACGAGGCACGUGUGCCUUUUUGCAUGUACUUUAUGAAUAAGGAUCGGCUAACUCCGUGCCAGCAGCCGCGGUAAUACGGAGGAUCCGAGCGUUAUCCGGAUUUAUUGGGUUUAAAGGGAGCGUAGAUGGGUUGUUAAGUCAGUUGUGAAAGGUUGCGGCUCAACCGUAAAACUGCAAUUGAUACUGGCAGUCUUGAGUACAGUUGAGGUAAGCGGAAUUCGUGGUGUAGCAGUGAAAUGCUUAGAUAUCACGAAGAACCCCGAUUGCGAAGGCAGCUUACUAAACUGUGACUGACAUUGAUGCACGAAAGUGUGGGUAUCAAACAGGAUUAGAUACCCGAGUAGUC